This 137-nucleotide ribosomal RNA is filed under the name uncultured eukaryote. RNAcentral's name for it is "partial 18S ribosomal RNA". It matches the Rfam family "Eukaryotic small subunit ribosomal RNA", at positions 1299 to 1458 of the family's 1831-position model. The record is from RNAcentral.
UCGUGGAGUGACUUGUCUGCUUAAUUGCGAUAACGAACGAGACCUUAACCUACUAAAUAGCCAGGCUAGCUUUGGCUGGUCGCCGGCUUCUUAGAGGGACUUUCGGCUCAAGCCGAAGGAAGUUUGAGGCAAUAACA